GACGAACGCUGGCGGCGUGCUUAACACAUGCAAGUCGAACGGAAAGGCCCUGCUUUUGUGGGGUGCUCGAGUGGCGAACGGGUGAGUAACACGUGAGUAACCUGCCCUUGACUUUGGGAUAACUUCAGGAAACUGGGGCUAAUACCGGAUAGGAGCUCCUGCUGCAUGGUGGGGGUUGGAAAGUUUCGGCGGUUGGGGAUGGACUCGCGGCUUAUCAGCUUGUUGGUGGGGUAGUGGCUUACCAAGGCUUUGACGGGUAGCCGGCCUGAGAGGGUGACCGGCCACAUUGGGACUGAGAUACGGCCCAGACUCCUACGGGGGGCAGCAGUGGGGAAUAUUGCACAAUGGGCGGAAGCCUGAUGCAGCAACGCCGCGUGCGGGAUGACGGCCUUCGGGUUGUAAACCGCUUUCGCUCAUGACGAAGCUUUGUGUGACGGUAGUGGGUAAAGAAGCACCGGCUAACUACGUG
Molecule: ribosomal RNA, 469 nt
Filed under: uncultured bacterium
Lineage: Bacteria
Description: partial 16S ribosomal RNA
Rfam family: Bacterial small subunit ribosomal RNA
Source: RNAcentral